GAGGGCGCCUGAGAAACGGCUACCAUUUCUACGGAAGGCAGCAGGCGCGUAAAUUACCCAAUCCUGACUCAGGGAGGUAGUUAAUAGAAAUAAUGUGCACGUCUCGACUAUGAGACUGGGAAUAUAAUGAAUGCAUUUUAAAAUAUUGUAUGAAUCCUAUUGGAGGGCAAGUCUGGUGCCAGCAGCCGCGGUAAUUCCAGCUCCAAUAGCAUAUAUUAAAGUUGUUGCAGUUAAAAAGCUCGUAGUUGAACCUCCGGCAUUAUUUAUAAUGUCUGCUUACGAAAUCUGAAGAUACUGAAAAUGUUUCAUCAGUCGGAGUAAGCCUUUACCGUGAACAAAAUAGAGUGCUCAAAGCAGGCUAUUGCUUGAAUAAUACAGCAUGGAAUAAUAAAAUAGGACUAAAUCCAUUUUAUUGGUUAUUGGAUAUAGUAAUGACUAACAGGAACAGUUGGGGGCAUUUGUAUUUAAUAGUCAGAGGUGGAAUUCUUAGAUUUAUUAAAGACAAACUAAUGCGAAAGCAUUUGCCAAGGAUGUUUUCAUUAAUCAAGAACGAAAGUUAGGGGAUCAAAGGCGAUUAGAUACCGUCGUAGUCCUAACCAUAAACGAUACCGACUAGGGAUUGGUGAGAAAACUUCUCAUCAGCACCUAAUGAGAAAUCAAAGUCUUUGGGUUCUGGGGGG
RNAcentral lists this ribosomal RNA (680 nucleotides) under uncultured eukaryote. Its description in RNAcentral is "SSU rRNA". It matches the Rfam family "Eukaryotic small subunit ribosomal RNA", at positions 388 to 1121 of the family's 1831-position model. The record is from RNAcentral.